Non-coding RNA from Plectropomus leopardus (leopard coralgrouper), 4515 nucleotides. The record is from RefSeq and is a predicted model, not a curated record. Lineage: Eukaryota; Metazoa; Chordata; Actinopteri; Perciformes; Serranidae.
ACAACUCCAGUUUCCAAGAUGGCGACACCCAUAAUUGAAACAUGCCAUGUUGCUUGUUGUGCAAACAGGACUCCAAACGUUGUUUCUUGGGGUCGCGGGGGGACCAUUGCCUUUGGGACAUGCACCGCAGUGGCUCUGUACGACCCGCAGGAGAGAAGAGUUGUCGCUGUGCUGAAUGGACACAAGGGACGAGUGAAUACAGUCAAGUGGGUUCACAGAGAGGACUGUGCUCCAGAAAGUCAUCUCGUCUCUGGAGGCUCAGACAAUCGGAUCAUCGUCUGGGAAGCUCAAAAUGGGAGGUUCAUCCAGUCAGUGGAGUGCAAAGGUCACACUGGUGCAGUUUGCGCUUUGGAUGCCAUCUACGUGGAGGACUCAAAGAUCCUGGUGGCCUCUGCAGCAUCCGACUCCACAGUCAAACUGUGGCUCUGCAAUGACGCCAAAGAAGCUGAGUGCCUCCAUACCUUAUCAUUCGGCAGCAGUUUCAUGAUGGAUGUCUCUCUGGCACUGUUGCCAGGCAGCAGAGUUCCCAUACUGGCCUGUGGGGGGGAUAACUCUCAAGUGCAUCUGCAUGUGCACUCUAAUGGAGAGCUCCAGAAAGCCAUGUCACUGCAAGGACAUGAAGACUGGGUUCGAGGACUAGCCUGGGCAUCUCUAGGUGGGGAGCUGUUAUUAGCCAGCUGUUCCCAGGACUGCCUCAUCAGAGUGUGGAGGCUGUGUGCCAAGUCUGGGACAGACGCCCGCAUAGAGGACGAUCACACCAUCAUCAAAAUGAAAGAGGAUGUUUUUGAAGUGAAGGAGAAAGACGUGUCCUCAGUGUUUGCUGUGUCUCUUGAGACGGUCCUGGCAGGCCACGAGAACUGGGUCUAUGGAGUCCACUGGCAGCCUCCUCUCUACAAAGGUGGUGAGCUGCAACAGCCCCUCAGCCUGCUCUCUGCCUCCAUGGACAAAACCAUGAUCCUCUGGUCUCCUGAGGAGGGAUCUGGAGUCUGGGUUGAGCAGGUGCGUGUAGGAGAGGUUGGUGGCAACACUCUGGGUUUCUACGGUUGCCAGAUGAGUCCUGAUGGCUCCAUGAUUGUGGCUCACGCUUUUCAUGGGGCACUUCAUCUCUGGUGCAAAGACCAAGACAAAGAGGGAGAGUGGAGGCCAGGGGUUGUGAUAUCGGGCCACUUUAAUGCGGUCCAGGACCUGAGCUGGGAUCCUGAGGGUGAAUUCAUCAUCAGCGUGGGCUCGGACCAGACGACCAGACUCUUCACUCCAUGGAGGAAACAAGAUGCCAAACAGGCAACCUGGCAUGAAAUCUCACGGCCGCAGAUCCAUGGAUACGACAUGCAGUGCCUGGCAAUGGUUGGAAGGUUUCAGUUUGUAUCAGGAGCUGAUGAGAAAGUCCUACGGGUGUUUCAAGCACCUCGUAAUUUUGUUGAGAACUUUGCUAGCAUCUCGGGGACCUCAAGAGAAAAGCUGUUGACAUCUAGUGACUCUGCCAACCUUCCAGAAGGAGCCAGCACACCUGCCUUGGGUCUGUCCAACAAGGCUGUAUUUCAAGGUGACCUUGCCCCAAAAACCAAUGAAGAAGAGGGACAGUUCAGCAGUGUUUCUGAUCAAUACCAGGAGUCUUACUUCCACCCUCUAAUCAUGACUGAGCCCCCACCAGAGGAUCAUCUUCUCCAGAACACGCUGUGGCCUGAGGUCCAGAAACUGUACGGACAUGGCUUUGAGAUGUUCUGUCUUGCUUCAGACAGCGCCAGGGCAUUGGUGGCGUCUGCAUGCAAGGCAUCUAAAGCAGAGCAUGCAGCAAUUCUGUUGUGGAGUACAGCUACAUGGCGUCAACUGCAGACACUGCCAUGCCACACCCUUACCGUCACCCAGAUGGCCUUCUCCCCUGAUGCACAACUCCUAUUGGCUGUUUCUCGUGAUCGCACCUGGUCUCUAUGGAGACGGGAUCUGCCCACACCUGAAAGUCCAGAGCCGCAGUUCUCACUGUACGCACACACGGGGAAGGGCAAAGCCAUACACAGCCGAAUCAUCUGGUCAUGUGACUGGAGCCCAGACAGCAAAUACUUUGUGACCUCCAGUCGGGACAAGAAGGUAAUAGUGUGGGGACCAUGCAGGUUAGAGGAAUGUGGAGACACGAUGCUUCCUCCUGAGAUCAAACCAUGUUCUUCCAUCCUGGAUGUGGGUGAUUCAGCUACCGCUGUGGCUUUCUGCCCCGUACUCUGCUCUGAUAACAGCUACCUGCUUGCCGUGGGCCUGGAGUGCGGCAGGAUCUUGUUGUACAGGUGGAGCCCUAGCCAGGAGCCUGCUGGAGGACAUGACUGGAGCAGCUGUGGAGAAACGGACAUCUCACAAAGCCAUGCUUUGACAGUCAAGAGGCUCCGCUGGAGGCCCAGGACUGGCCGAGUAGGCCGAGAGAACAUCAAGAUGGAUGGACAGACUGACGGAGAGAGUGAAGUCGAGGAAGAGAGCUCCUGGGUCCAGCUUGCCAGCGCCAGCGCCGACCACUCUGUCAAAAUCUUCAACAUCAACAAACGGGCUCUUUAGCACCACCAACAGUGACACUAUUAUGUCUCUCACACGCAGAGAGACACUUGGACUGAGGGCCACAGGCCUGACUGCGGCACAAAGGCCACAGCUGCUCGCUGGCAAGCCGUUCACUUCCUGUGACAGCCAGUUAAGUCAUGGGUCAGUCACAGGACAAACCCUCAGCACACAUGGCCCGCAGUCUGUCUACACACAGCUGAACAGAUUUGAUGGGUGGAGGCAAGAUGGUGAAAACACCAUGGCCCAGGGGUGGUAUUUUGCUUAGACACUUCAAAGUGCUUUAGAUUCAGAGAAGACGACGCUGCUGGAUAUCUAUACAGAUCACAUAUUUAGACUGGAUAGUAAAAAAAUAUUUAUAUGGUGAACGGAGGCUUUUCAGUAACAAAUCAAGGAAGUUAAUCUCACAGAUGUAUGAUGUUUAUUUGUUUUAUGAAAGAUUAAUUAAAUGUCUUUUGUAUCCAAAAUUUGACUGUCUAUGGUCUAAUAAUGGAGGUCAAGUGAUGUGAAAUCACAAAACUCUUAAAUACAAGAAGGUGCAAGAAUGCAAAACAUUAACAGUGUGAAGCAGAGCCAUAAUGUAAGGGAAUACUUCACCUACAAAAUGAAAAUCAAAUGACUGAAUAUCAACUACUCACCGCGUUAACUUGAAUUAGAAGAAAACUUGUUUUUCUUGGAAGACUCAAAGGUGAACAAAGAGUCCAAAACCAAAAAAGUCUUGAUGAAUAGAAGUUAUUGGGCUCCGCCUUUAACAACAGCCAAAGUAAAACAAAACAUCCAUUUAAAAACUCACACAACUUGUGAAUUAUAAUUGAAGUCUCAUUUAUCCAGUCGUAUGCUCAGUACUUCCCAAACACAUGCAUUUUUGUUAAAACCUUAGAAUUUAAAACACCUCAGCAUAAACAGUCACAGGCACCAAUGAGAAGCCCACCCAGGCUAGCACAUGCAUUUCAACUCUCCUUGCCCACUUGUACGCUGAAGUGUUUUAAAUUCUAAGGUUUUAGCAAAAAAUGCUCAUUUCACCUGGUAGAAGUAUUUCUCCAAAGGACCAUACAUCACCUGUGUCUUAACAUGUUUUAGCCUAAUCACUAAAUACUUAAUAUACAUUACAGCUAACUAAUUUUGCAAAACAGAUGGUGAGACUUCAUGUAACCAUCAUAAAUAAAAGGUGAAUUGCUACUUUUGGAACUUAAACCUUGGAACUUGAAAACACGUGACUUGGAGUGAUGGAUCACCAAUCUUUAAAUCUCCACGGUUCUGUUAUAUUGAAUGGAAAUGAAUAGGAACCAGAUAGACUAGUAAAUCGACAUUGAGUCAAUUUUAUUUAUAUAGCACUGUAAAGCCCCUAUGGUGUCAUCAUGAGGAUUUCUGGUAGGAGGAGGGGUGUCUAUCCUGUGCUUCCCAUGCAGCUCCACUGAUUAGUAACUCAGCACACCUGGACCCAGUGUGCUGAAGUUACUUAAGCUCCUGCAGACAGCCAGCCAGCUCUCUGCCCUGGCUGACUCCACAGGCACGCCUUGGUUUUUCCUUUGCCAGCAUAAUAAGGAAAGCCCACCAACGCCUGUACUUUUCGAGGAGGCUGAAGCAGGCUGGUCUCAGCGCUGGUGUCCUGACCUCCUUUAACCAGUGUGUGAUGGAGAGCGCACUGACAUCCUCCAUCACUGUCUGGUAUGGGAUCUGCUCAGUGGCCGACAGGAAGGCGCUGCAGAGAGUGGUUAAUUCUGCUCAAAAAAUCAUCAACAGCAGCCUCCUCUCCUUGGAGGACAUUUAUGUCAGCAGGUGCAGAAGCAGAGCUUCAUGUAUCAGAAAGGACAUCACCCACCCAGCACACGAACUGUUGAUGCCCCUCCCCUCAGGCAGAAGACUGCACAGCUUCAAAGUAAGAACAACAAGGCUAAAGUGCAGCUUCUUCCCAGAGGCUGUGAGACUCAUGAACUCCUGACCUAAAGUCUGUCUACUGCACUUUGAUUCACUGCUGCU